UACGUAGGGUGCAAGCGUUGUCCGGAAUUAUUGGGCGUAAAGAGCUCGUAGGCGGUUUGUUGCGUCGGCUGUGAAAUCCCGAGGCUCAACCUCGGGUCUGCAGUCGAUACGAGCAAACUAGAGUGUUGCAGGGGAGACUGGAAUUCCUGGUGUAGCGGUGAAAUGCGCAGAUAUCAGGAGGAACACCGGUGGCGAAGGCGGGUCUCUGGGCAACAACUGACGCUGAGGAGCGAAAGCGUGGGGAGCGAACGGA
Molecule: ribosomal RNA, 253 nt
Filed under: uncultured bacterium
Lineage: Bacteria
Description: partial 16S ribosomal RNA
Rfam family: Bacterial small subunit ribosomal RNA
Source: RNAcentral